Misgurnus anguillicaudatus (oriental weatherfish) is the source of this 752-nucleotide non-coding RNA. Lineage: Eukaryota; Metazoa; Chordata; Actinopteri; Cypriniformes; Cobitidae. The record is from RefSeq and is a predicted model, not a curated record.
GUUAUUAGCCCUGAUUGGUUGUUUUGACCGUCAUCCAGAUCUCUGGCCUAUGACAAUUCAGCGCGCACUUUUCAACAUUUCAAACUCCUGCAGCCGGUAGUAUUUGCUGAUGCUGCUGGAGGGAGGAGUUCACUCUGCAGAACUGCAGCAGUACAUCGGUUGGUCCACUACUGACUUUUACUAUAAUUGGUUACCUCUAUCGGGUAUUUUUUUAUUCGGUUGAACUUAAGUUAGAAAACAUAAUAUGGACAAAGACUUUUACCAACGGGUACCGGACAUAUGGAAAACUGCAGCAGGAUCUACUGUGGAUCGCUGGGACUUAAGUCAAAAUGAGACCGAGAAUGUGUUUUAUCUCAAGCUGCUCCAGAGAAGUCUCCUACCACGCCAUACAUAAGAUCAACAUUGAAGCAUUGUUUACAGUAAGAAUAGGCACCAACAGAAAGACAAAUCCAACACUAAUGCACCAAGGAUCAAGGUGAUUUUUGGCAGCUUGGAGAAUUUUUCUUUAUCUGUCACAUCUGGUACAGAAUCUCUGACAUUUUGGUAUUUGUAAUGUUUAUUUUAUUAUAUUUGUAUACUUAUGCUAGAUAUUAAUAUACUUGUAUAGUUACUGUAUGUUUCUGAAUUAAAAGAUAGCCCCAGGUAAAAAUGUAAAACUGAUAUAAUACUGAUAUUGAAAAUACAAGCUAAAAUGGCACAAUUUGUUGCUUUCUCCACCUGUUUCACAAAUGAAAACAUUUUAUAUGCACAGA